CCGUUAGUUAACUUAUUGAGUUUGGUCAAUUUGCCUAAAAAUGAUUCCGCUGACAAUUGGAAGUUGUACCCUAACAGAUAUUUUAGGACGGGGCAGUUAUGGCGUCGUCUUUAAGGCAGAAAGAGUCGAGUCGAGGACAAACUUAGCUAUUUUUAAGUUGGGGGAUUGCGUGGUUGAACUCGAGACGACAUUUGCGAUCAAAAUCACACCUCAACUAAAGUAUAAUGAGUUCGUGUUCUUCGCCCAGACUUGCCAUCCCAACAUUGUCCGUUGCCACAACGCUUACAUUGUAACAGACGAAGCAGAGACGUUGCUAAGAAAUGAAGAAAUUGCAAAAAUGUUUUCCGAUGAUAGCUGUGUAACGGAGGAUUCCGCAAAUGGAAGCGUGGACUUGGGGAGAUUUUGUAUUUUCGAAAUGGAGCUUUGCACUGAAGGAAGUUUGGAUAAGUACUUGGACGGCAGGAAAUCCAAGGGGCCAUGUAAGGCGGAAAGCAUGGUUCUCUUUUGUCAACUUGUCGAAGCCUUUGUCUACCUUCAAACAAAGAAAAUUGUCCACGGGGACCUAAAGCCUAACAACGUUUUGCUUUCGAGGAAAGAUUCUUUAUUAGUGGCAAAAUUGGCCGAUCUAGGCCUGACGAUGCAAAAUGGGGGAAUUGACGAGUUUAUGAAAACGUUGCAAGACGGGGACAACCACAAUGAAACUGCCGAAAUAUCAAAUAGACGCCUAUUCCUCUCUCCUGAGCAAGCUGCAAUGCACCUUGCCACAAAACCCAUUCACUUCGGAAUCCACCAAAUUGACGUCUACUCCUUAGGACUAAUCUGGCUCUGUCUUCUGGCACCAACUGAAAAGUCAUACAAUGAAAUCAAGGGGUACGUUAUCGACUGCAUGUUACCUCCAGCUGAACGAAUAACCCCUGACUUCAUUGUUGACCAACAACUGCAAAGCGAAUGGGCUCGAAUUUCGCGAAUGAUUGAUCAUGACGCCACCCGUAGACAGGGAGCGAGUGACAUUCAAUCUUUUAUUGAUAUGCAUACUAAUUAUUUGAAGUCACCUCCACCGCCCGUUGAGGCCAAGUGCAUCCUUUCCGCUCAACGCAGUAGAAUUGAUCGCAUGCAAGGCAUUUGAUAUGGUACAAACACUUCCAAAGGAAACAGCUGAAAGACUGCCAAUAGUGAAUAAUUUACGAAAAAGAGACUACCAUCUUGCAUUGGACAUUCUGCAUGAAGCUACAACCUACCCCGGCUUUGGGAUUAAACCUGAUGACCCUCUGGUGCAACAAUCGCUGAGAAAUUUAAAUACUGUGUUCAACAAAAGGGAGACCCGCAAAGGGGACAUGUGCUAUAUUUAUAAAAAACUCGUGAGAGACAUACAACUCAGAGGGCUCGAUCAUACGCAAAACGAGUAUUUUUUCAGCAUUUAUGGAAAACUGGCCACAUCCCUGACAGGCUACAGGGAUGAGUUCAAGGACGAAGGAAUGACACUUUUAUCAAGUUUAAUCCACAAGUUUGAUCCAAGAAACACCGUGGCAGUAGGUCUACUCUUGACAUAUGUGUCUAAGACAUUAGGACCGAAACGGGCAUGGUAUAACAAGGAGGACAGCUCGUCUACCUCGUAUUCAUUUAGCAACCAGGAAAUGUGCCACAUGCUAUCAAAGUUGGAAGCUUUGUCAGACAAAUUACAGAAGAAACAUAACUUUUGCAUUACAUCGGACAAAGUCGCGGCAAAAUUGUUCAAAAUUACGAUGGUAAUUUUGAGCCGACUUGGUAGGAAUGAUGAAGCUGAAAGCAGGUUUGCUGCCGUUCUGAAAACUCCAACAAAUAAGCAAAAUGCGGAUUGUGCAAAAAUUUUCUUAGAUUUGCAGCGCCACUACUGUCGAUUUCUUAUUGACCAUUGUGACCGCUAUGAGGAUGCUGCAUCCUACGGAAGGGAAAUGUUUAAUAUGCACAUGACCGAUAGAGACCUCGCCGAAGCGUCUGUAGAUUUAAAUUUUCUUAUUAGAAAUCCCUUCGUAACGGAAGAGGAGGAAAAACUUAUGCGUGGUGAACUAUGCGAGUUGGCUUUCUGGGUAAAAUUAGACGCCACGGUGAAUCAUCCACUUCCUGAUCCAGAUAACCUUCGCAAGGCAAUUGAUAUAAUUCAGCUAAUUCAUUGAACCUGUCUUUGUGGCCUUGGAAUAAGUGUAAACUCACCAUGUAUUCCUUCUAAUUCAUUGUAAUGAUAAUAAUUUAUAAAAUAAAAACACAGUUGGUAAAAACAUUAA
This is an RNA transcript of Folsomia candida, 2261 nucleotides long. RefSeq lists it as uncharacterized. The transcript has 4 exons. NCBI's taxonomy places the organism in Eukaryota, Metazoa, Arthropoda, Collembola, Entomobryomorpha, Isotomidae. The record is from RefSeq and is a predicted model, not a curated record.